This 436-nucleotide ribosomal RNA is filed under the name uncultured bacterium. RNAcentral's name for it is "bacterial SSU rRNA". It matches the Rfam family "Bacterial small subunit ribosomal RNA", at positions 341 to 792 of the family's 1533-position model. The record is from RNAcentral. RNAcentral also lists the same sequence under 1 other name.
ACGGAAGGCAGCAGUGGGGAAUAUUGGGCAAUGGAGGAAACUCUGACCCAGCAACGCCGCGUGGAGGAAGAAGGUUUUCGGAUCGUAAACUCCUGUCCUUGGAGACGAGUAGAAGACGGUAUCCAAGGAGGAAGCCCCGGCUAACUACGUGCCAGCAGCCGCGGUAAUACGUAGGGGGCAAGCGUUGUCCGGAAUAAUUGGGCGUAAAGGGCGCGUAGGCGGCUCGGUAAGUCUGGAGUGAAAGUCCUGCUUUUAAGGUGGGAAUUGCUUUGGAUACUGUCGGGCUUGAGUGCAGGAGAGGUUAGUGGAAUUCCCAGUGUAGCGGUGAAAUGCGUAGAGAUUGGGAGGAACACCAGUGGCGAAGGCGACUAACUGGACUGUAACUGACGCUGAGGCGCGAAAGUGUGGGGAGCAAACAGGAUUAGAUACCCUGGUA